This 928-nucleotide ribosomal RNA is filed under the name Arthrinium puccinioides. RNAcentral describes it as "eukaryotic LSU rRNA". It matches the Rfam family "Eukaryotic large subunit ribosomal RNA", at positions 1 to 954 of the family's 3401-position model. Lineage: Eukaryota; Fungi; Ascomycota; Sordariomycetes; Amphisphaeriales; Apiosporaceae. The record is from RNAcentral.
GUUGACCUCGGAUCAGGUAGGAAUACCCGCUGAACUUAAGCAUAUCAAUAAGCGGAGGAAAAGAAACCAACAGGGAUUCCCCUAGUAACGGCGAGUGAAGCGGGAACAGCUCAAAUUUGAAAUCUGGCCCUUGGGUCCGAGUUGUAAUUUGUAGAGGAUGCUUUUGGUGCGGUGCCUUCCGAGUUCCCUGGAACGGGACGCCUUAGAGGGUGAGAGCCCCGUACGGUCGGACACCUAGCCUCUGUAAAGCUCCUUCGACGAGUCGAGUAGUUUGGGAAUGCUGCUCAAAAUGGGAGGUACAUUUCUUCUAAAGCUAAAUAUUGGCCAGAGACCGAUAGCGCACAAGUAGAGUGAUCGAAAGAUGAAAAGCACUUUGAAAAGAGGGUUAAAUAGCACGUGAAAUUGUUGAAAGGGAAGGACUUAUGAGCAGACUUUUUCCAGGCGGAUCAUCCGGUGUUCUCACCGGUGCACUUCGCCUGGUCGAGGCCAGCAUCAGUUUUCGGAGGGGGAUAAAAGCCUCGGGAAUGUGGCUCCCUCGGGAGUGUUAUAGCCCGUUGCAUAAUACCCUUCUGGGGACUGAGGUACGCGCUUCUGCAAGGAUGCUGGCGUAAUGCUCAUCAGUCACCCGUCUUGAAACACGGACCAAGGAGUCGAACAUUUAUGCCAGUGUUUGGGUGUUAAACCCUCACGCGUAAUUAAAGUGAACGGAGGUGAGAGCCCUUACGGGUGCAUCAUCGACCGAUCCUGAUGUCUUCGGAUGGAUUUGAGUAAGAGCAUAACUGUUCGGACCCGAAAGAUGGUGAACUAUGCGUGGAUAGGGUGAAGCCAGAGGAAACUCUGGUGGAGGCUCGCAGCGGUUCUGACGUGCAAAUCGAUCGUCGAAUCUGCGCAUGGGGGCGAAAGACUAAUCGAACCAUCUAGUAGCUGG